RNAcentral lists this ribosomal RNA (441 nucleotides) under uncultured bacterium. RNAcentral's name for it is "partial 16S ribosomal RNA". It matches the Rfam family "Bacterial small subunit ribosomal RNA", at positions 28 to 507 of the family's 1533-position model. The record is from RNAcentral.
GAUGAACGCUGGCGGCGUGCCUAAUACAUGCAAGUCGAACGGGGAGUAGCAAUCCUCUUCGUGGCGAACGGGUGAGUAACGCGUUGGUACCUGCCCCGAAGCGGGGGAUAACGGACCGAAAGGUCCGCUAAUACCCCAUGUGCUCGGUAACGAGUAAAGGUGAAAACCACUUUGGGAGGGGCCUGCGUCCCAUCAGCUAGUUGGUAAGGUAACGGCUUACCAAGGCGAUGACGGGUAGGGGACCUGAGAGGGUGGCCCCCCACAAUGGAACUGAAACACGGUCCAUACACCUACGGGUGGCAGCAGUAGGAAAUAUUGGUAAUGGGCGCAAGCCUGAACCAGCAACGCCGCGUGUGCGAUGACGGCCUUCGGGUUGUAAAGCACUUUUGACUGGGACGAGGAAGGACGGUACCGGUCGAAUCAGCCUCGGCUAACUACGUG